UGCUAGUCGUGCGAGUUUAGACUCGCGGCGUAUAGCUCAGUAACACGUGGCCAAACUACCCUACAGACGGGAACAACCUCGGGAAACUGAGGCUAACUCCUGAUACGCGUUGGCUGUUUGAAGACGCCGACGUUGAAACGCUUUGGCGCUGUAGGAUGUGGCUGCGGCCGAUUAGGUAGAUGGUGGGGUAACGGCCCACCAUGCCGAUAAUCGGUACGGGUUGUGAGAGCAAGAGCCCGGAGACGGUAUCUGAGACAAGAUACCGGGCCCUACGGGGCGCAGCAGGCGCGAAACCUUUACACUGCACGCCAGUGCGAUAAGGGGAUCCCCAGUGCGAGGGCAUACAGUCCUCGCUUUUCACCACCGUACGAUGGUGGUGGAACAAGAGCUGGGCAAGACCGGUGCCAGCCGCCGCGGUAAUACCGGCAGCACGAGUGAUGGCCGAUUUUAUUGGGCCUAAAGCGUCCGUAGCUGGCCGUUCAAGUCUGUCGGGAAAUCCAGUGGCUCAACCACUGGGCUGCCGGCGGAAACUGGACGGCUUGGGACCGGAAGACCCGAGGGGUACGUCCGGGGUAGGAGUGAAAUCCUGUAAUCCUGGACGGACCACCGAUGGCGAAAGCACCUCGGGAGCACGGAUCCGACAGUGAGGGACGAAAGCUAGGGUCUCGAACCGGAUUAGAUACCCGGGUAGUCCUAGCUGUAAACGAUGCUCGCUCGGUCUGGCGCAGGCUACGAGCCUGUGCUGUGCCACAGUGAAGACGUAAGCGAGCCGCCUGGGAAGUACGUCCGCAAGGAUGAAACUUAAAGGAAUUGGCGGGGGAGCACUACAACCGGA
This 835-nucleotide ribosomal RNA is filed under the name uncultured haloarchaeon. Its description in RNAcentral is "bacterial SSU rRNA". It matches the Rfam family "Archaeal small subunit ribosomal RNA", at positions 52 to 889 of the family's 1478-position model. The record is from RNAcentral. Lineage: Archaea; Methanobacteriati; Methanobacteriota; Halobacteria; Halobacteriales; Halobacteriaceae.